Octopus sinensis (East Asian common octopus) is the source of this 239-nucleotide long non-coding RNA. RefSeq lists it as uncharacterized. The transcript is spliced from 3 exons. The record is from RefSeq and is a predicted model, not a curated record. NCBI's taxonomy places the organism in Eukaryota, Metazoa, Mollusca, Cephalopoda, Octopoda, Octopodidae.
AAGAAGACAUAACCAGUUUACUAGAAGAUGGGAGAAUGCAGUAGAUAAGGAGCUAAUAUUACUUCAAUUACACAGAUUUGCAGAUUCUUCAUGCCAGCCUUUUUGGAGAGUCUACUGAAUGAGUAAUGUGUAAGGAUUUUUAGGGAACAUUUUUACAACUGGGUUUUUAUUGUUAAAGUUGACUAAGCUAACAGAGGAUGUUCGCAGUAAGACAGAAAGAACAUUUCUCUAAAGUUACA